This is a non-coding RNA of Pelobates cultripes (western spadefoot toad), 390 nucleotides long. NCBI's taxonomy places the organism in Eukaryota, Metazoa, Chordata, Amphibia, Anura, Pelobatidae. The record is from the annotation of a GenBank genome assembly.
GGGAGUGCUGCGGAAAUCCAUUGGUUUCUUCCCCUUACAGCUACUACAUGAGCGCAGUGGGUGUGGUUUAAGGGAUGUUACCAGAGAUCGAUGGGGAAUUGAAACAGGCAAAUCAGGCAUGUUUGUUGAGGGUGUAGCUGUGGUAUGGACUGAUCACAACCUGCUGCAGGUGACAGGUAACCAUGGUAAACUGCUCCAUUGGAGCCCUAUCCUCCAACAGUAUAAUUUCACUGCCCAGCACAAAAAGGGCAGCUUGCAUGGGAAUGCAGAUGGCCUGUCUCGGCAACUAGAGGGUUAAUGGUAGACAGAUAAAUCAGCCUGUGGCUGAAUUUUUCUGUCCACCAUCUUAAGGGGGAGGUGUCAUGCCAAAAGCAUGAGUUGGUGUUUGAU